RNAcentral lists this ribosomal RNA (401 nucleotides) under uncultured bacterium. Its description in RNAcentral is "bacterial SSU rRNA". It matches the Rfam family "Bacterial small subunit ribosomal RNA", at positions 29 to 416 of the family's 1533-position model. The record is from RNAcentral.
AGCGAACGUUAGCGGCGGGCUUAACACAUGCAAGUCGAGCGAGAAAGUGGCUUCGGCCAUCAGUAAAGCGGCGGACGGGUGAGUAACACGUAGGUAAUCUUCCCUUGAGCGGGGGACAACGAGCCCGAAAGGCUCGCUAAUACCGCAUAAGUUCCCAGGGUCCUCGGGCCUUGGGAGGAAAGCUAGGUAGCAAUAUCCGGCACUCGAGGAGGAGCCUGCGUCGCAUCAGCUAGUUGGUGGGGUAAUGGCCUACCAAGGCGAAGACGCGUAGCUGGUCUGAGAGGAUGAUCAGCCACACUGAAACUGAGACACGGUUCAGACUCCUACGGGAGGCAGCAGUGGGGAAUAUUGGACAAUGGGCGCAAGCCUGAUCCAGCCACGCCGCGUGAGUGAUGAAGGCC